This 507-nucleotide ribosomal RNA is filed under the name uncultured bacterium. RNAcentral's name for it is "partial 16S ribosomal RNA". It matches the Rfam family "Bacterial small subunit ribosomal RNA", at positions 30 to 523 of the family's 1533-position model. The record is from RNAcentral.
AUUGAACGCUGGCGGCAUGCCUUACACAUGCAAGUCGAACGGCAGCGGGGGAGAAGCUUGCUUUUCCUGCCGGCGAGUGGCGAACGGGUGAGUAAUACAUCGGAACGUGCCCUGUAGUGGGGGAUAACUAGUCGAAAGAUUAGCUAAUACCGCAUACGACCUGAGGGUGAAAGUGGGGGACCGCAAGGCCUCAUGCUAUAGGAGCGGCCGAUGUCUGAUAGCUAGUUGGUGGGGUAAAGGCCUACCAAGGCGACGAUCAGUAGCUGGUCUGGAAGGACGAUCAGCCCCACUGGGAAUGAGACACGGCCCAGACUCAUACGGGAGGCAGCAGUGGGGAAUUUUGGACAAUGGGCGAAAGCCUGAUCCAGCAAUGCCGCGUGUGUGAAGAAGGCCUUCGGGUUGUAAAGCACUUUUGUCCGGAAAGAAAUGGCUCUGGUUAAUACCUGGGGUCGAUGACGGUACCGGAAGAAUAAGGACCGGCUAACUACGUGCCAGCCGCCGCGGUAA